AAUUCGCCCUUAGAGUUUGAUCCUGGCUGAGGAUGAACGCUAGCGGCAGGCCUAAUACAUGCAAGUCGAGGGGUAGUUGGGGCUUGCUCCAAUGAGACCGGCGCACGGGUGCGUAACGCGUAUGCAACCUACCUUCAUCAGGGGGAUAGCCCGGAGAAAUCCGGAUUAACACCGCAUAAAAUCACAGCACGGCAUUGUGCAAUGAUCAAAUAUUUAUAGGAUGGAGAUGGGCAUGCGUGCCAUUAGCUAGUUGGCGGGGUAAGGGCCCACCAAGGCUACGAUGGCUAGGGGAUCUGAGAGGAUGGCCCCCCACACUGGUACUGAGACACGGACCAGACUCCUACGGGAGGCAGCAGUAAGGAAUAUUGGUCAAUGGGGGCAACCCUGAACCAGCCAUGCCGCGUGCAGGAAGACAGCCCUACGGGUCGUAAACUGCUUUUGCACGGGAAUAAACCCCGCCACGUGUGGCGGACUGAACGUACCGUGAGAAUAAGGAUCGGCUAACUCCGUGCCAGCAGCCGCGGUAAUACGGAGGAUCCGAGCGUUAUCCGGAUUUAUUGGGUUUAAAGGGUGCGUAGGCGGCCUGUUAAGUCAGGGGUGAAAGACGGUAGCUCAACUAUCGCAGUGCCCUUGAUACUGACGGGCUUGAAUGGACUAGAGGUGGGCGGAAUGAGACAAGUAGCGGUGAAAUGCAUAGAUAUGUCUCAGAACACCGAUUGCGAAGGCAGCUCACUAUGGUUCUAUUGACGCUGAGGCACGAAAGCGUGGGGAUCGAACAGGAUUAGAUACCCUGGUAGUCCACGCCCUAAACGAUGAACACUCGCUGUCGGCGAUACACAGUCGGCGGCUAAGCGAAAGCGUUAAGUGUUCCAUCUGGGGAGUACGGUCGCAAGAUUGAAACUCAAAGGAAUUGACGGGGGCCCGCACAAGCGGAGGAGCAUGUGGUUUAAUUCGAUGAUACGCGAGGAACCUUACCCGGGCUUGAAAGUUAGUGAAGUGCCCAGAGAUGGGCGCGUCCGCAAGGACACGAAACUAGGUGCUGCAUGGCUGUCGUCAGCUCGUGCCGUGAGGUGUUGGGUUAAGUCCCGCAACGAGCGCAACCCCUAUGUCUAGUUGCCAGCACGUUAUGGUGGGGACUCUAGACAGACUGCCUGUGCAAACAGAGAGGAAGGAGGGGACGACGUCAAGUCAUCAUGGCCCUUACGUCCGGGGCUACACACGUGCUACAAUGGACGGUACAGAGGGCAGCUACACGGCAACGUGAUGCGAAUCUCUCAAAGCCGUUCACAG
RNAcentral lists this ribosomal RNA (1290 nucleotides) under uncultured Pedobacter sp. RNAcentral's name for it is "bacterial SSU rRNA". It matches the Rfam family "Bacterial small subunit ribosomal RNA", at positions 1 to 1291 of the family's 1533-position model. Lineage: Bacteria; Pseudomonadati; Bacteroidota; Sphingobacteriia; Sphingobacteriales; Sphingobacteriaceae. The record is from RNAcentral.